UAAGUGAUCCUGGUCCUUUUUUUCAUGUAUCCAGCUGCUUAUCCUGGCUGUGUGUUACCUGUACCUCACAUGCCGCAGUCACUUUCAUAGAAGACACUCUGGUAGACUUUUACUCAGUCAGACACCAAGUCAGGAAGACAGGUUUGACGAUAUUACAGAAAUCCUGGACGACUCUCUGCCGGGGCCAGUAUCUGCAGAUAACUUAUCUACUCUGGAGCAGGACGC
This 225-nucleotide unclassified non-coding RNA is filed under the name Homalodisca vitripennis (glassy-winged sharpshooter). Its description in RNAcentral is "uncharacterized LOC124361403, transcript variant X1". Lineage: Eukaryota; Metazoa; Arthropoda; Insecta; Hemiptera; Cicadellidae. The record is from RNAcentral.